Molecule: ribosomal RNA, 496 nt
Filed under: uncultured organism
Description: SSU rRNA
Rfam family: Bacterial small subunit ribosomal RNA
Source: RNAcentral
GUCCUGGCUCGAGGACGACGCUGGCGGCGUGCCUAACACAUGCAAGUCGAACGAGAAAUAAUGAUAUGGAACCUUCGGGGGAUUGGAUUUAUGGACAGUGGCGGACGGGCGAGUAACGCGUGAGUAACCUGCCCAUAANCGGGGGAUAGCCGAUGGAAACGUCGAGUAAUACCGCAUGACAUAAUUAAGUCGCAUGGCUUGAUUAUCAAAGAUUUAUCGUUUAUGGAUGGACUCGCGUCUGAUUAGAUAGUUGGUGAGGUAACGGCUCACCAAGUCGACGAUCAGUAGCCGAACUGAGAGGUUGAUCGGCCGCAUUGGGACUGAGACACGGCCCAGACUCCUACGGGAGGCAGCAGUGGGGGAUAUUGCGCAAUGGGGGGAACCCUGACGCAGCAACGCCGCGUGCAGGAAGAAGGUCUUCGGAUUGUAAACUGUUGUCGCAAGGGAAGAAGAAAGUGACGGUACCUUGUGAGAAAGUCACGGCUAACUACGUGCC